GAUGCAGCCAUGCCGCGUGUGUGAAGAAGGCCUUCGGGUUGUAAAGCACUUUCAGUAGGGAGGAAGGUAGUGUAGUUAACACCUGCAUUAUUUGACGUUACCUACAGAAGAAGCACCGGCUAACUCCGUGCCAGCAGCCGCGGUAAUACGGAGGGUGCGAGCGUUAAUCGGAAUUACUGGGCGUAAAGCGCAUGCAGGCGGCCUGUUAAGUCAGAUGUGAAAGCCCGGGGCUUAACCUCGGAAUUGCAUUUGAAACUGGCAGGCUAGAGUCUUGUAGAGGGGGGGUAGGAAUUUCAGGUGUAGCGGUGAAAUGCGUAGAGAUCUGAAGGAAUACCAGUGGCGAAGGCGGCCCCCUCGGACAAAGACUGACGCUCAGAUGCGAAAGCGUGGGGAGCAAACAGGAUUAGAUACCCUGGUAG
Molecule: ribosomal RNA, 419 nt
Filed under: uncultured bacterium
Lineage: Bacteria
Description: bacterial SSU rRNA
Rfam family: Bacterial small subunit ribosomal RNA
Source: RNAcentral